RNAcentral lists this ribosomal RNA (497 nucleotides) under uncultured bacterium. RNAcentral's name for it is "partial 16S ribosomal RNA". It matches the Rfam family "Bacterial small subunit ribosomal RNA", at positions 28 to 507 of the family's 1533-position model. The record is from RNAcentral.
GAUGAACGCUGGCGGCGUGCCUAAUACAUGCAAGUCGAGCGAACAGACGAGGAUUUUGCUCCUCUGACGUUAGCGGCGGACGGGUGAGUCCCACGUGGAUAACCUACCUAUAAGACUGGUAUAACUAUGGGAAACCUGCGCUACUACCGGAUAAUUUAUUGACCCGCAUGGUGCCAUAGUGAAAGUCGGUUUUGCUGUCACUUAUAGAUGGAUCCGCGCCGCAUUAGCUAGUUGUUAAGGUAGCGGCCUACCAACGCAACGAUGGGUAGCCGACCUGAGAGGGUGAUCGAGCAGACGGGAACAGAGAAAGGGUCCAGACUCCGACGCUAGGCAGCAGUAGAGAAUCUUCCGCGAUGGGCGAGAGCCUGACGGAGCAAAGCCGCGGGAGUGAUGACGGUCUUCGGAUGGUAAAACUCUGUUAUUAGUGAAGAACAAAUGUGUAAGUAACUAUGCACGUCUUGACGGUACCUAAACAGAAAGCCACGGCUAACUACGUG